Molecule: long non-coding RNA, 1109 nt
Filed under: Homo sapiens (human)
Lineage: Eukaryota; Metazoa; Chordata; Mammalia; Primates; Hominidae
Description: HSALNT0391840
Source: RNAcentral
CAGCAUACAAGGGCCACCUGGGAAGUGGCCACUGAAUCUGGGCUCAGGCUAUAGGCCCCCUCUCUUGAUCUUCAAGUUCAGUCUCCCAUUUUUCCUUGUCAUUUUUGUUUUGCCAGCUUUCAGUGGCAGCAGCCCCUCCCCCUGGGGCUCAGAGCUGGAGAGGGAGUUUUAAGUGGUUUCUGCAAAAUAUUUUGGAGGAGAAUGAUCUGCCUUUAGUAGUCAAGGACUCUUCUUGCAACACUCAGGCUCUGUUUUAUGGACAGAAAGAGUCCAGGAGGCUCUCUGAGCCACACAAGGCCCUUUGCAACCUUCCUGGGCUCGGGCUGCGAGCAGCCAUUUUGGAACAUGUGAAACGGAUUUUAAAUUCCCUCUUUGCAGUUUGAGAAGAUGGCGGCCUGAACCGGAGUCCUUCUUCCCCUCCUCCCUCUCCGCUGCUGCAAUGCCCAGGCCCCCCGCAACGUUCCUCGUCUGUAAUGGUGCCAGAGGCUUUAAAUCUUGCAGAAGCCACAUCUGCUGCCUGCAGUCUCCGGUAUGUCAUUAUCAGCAGUGUGAAAAUGGACUCACUCCCACCCUGUCUGGAUCUGGACAAGAGCCCACCACCCCGUUGGCAGUAGUCAGGCAGCUCUGCUUCUAAGAACCUGCAGCUUUUGGAAGAAAGGCACCCUGUGGUUUCAGAAGCCCAAGAGUCCCUGCAGCUCAGCACCCCCAGCCUGGUGCUUGGCAGAUGACUGCCUCCUCACUUAGCAGAGGGAGCAGAAAACUGUGUAUUCUUCAGAACAUCAUGAUAACCUGGCACUCAUGGGUCUAUGGAGAGAAUUCAGGGGGUCUGGGAGCUUGGAUGGAAUAAAUUUGCAUCUUUAUUUUCAGGAAAGUUUUACUGAAGUUUAGCAUUUUCUUUCAUUAUAAAUGGAAUCAGUAUAACCCAAUAGUAUGAGCAGUUACUUCUCCGCAACAUCAAAGUGGCUGCAGAUAUCUCAAAAUAGUAUUUACAUUUAUCAUAACUUAGAAAUUUGGGUGGUAAUUAAACCAGCAACUAUUCUUUGUUUAAUGCAUUAAGAAAGAAGUAUGUAUACUAUCAUAUCUCAAUUAAAAAUAUUUUAAGAACUGGA